RNAcentral lists this ribosomal RNA (2112 nucleotides) under Escherichia coli. Its description in RNAcentral is "bacterial LSU rRNA". It matches the Rfam family "Bacterial large subunit ribosomal RNA", at positions 1 to 2141 of the family's 2925-position model. The record is from RNAcentral. Lineage: Bacteria; Pseudomonadati; Pseudomonadota; Gammaproteobacteria; Enterobacterales; Enterobacteriaceae.
UUAAGCGACUAAGCGUACACGGUGGAUGCCCUGGCAGUCAGAGGCGAUGAAGGACGUGCUAAUCUGCGAUAAGCGUCGGUAAGGUGAUAUGAACCGUUAUAACCGGCGAUUUCCGAAUGGGGAAACCCAGUGUGUUUCGACACACUAUCAUUAACUGAAUCCAUAGGUUAAUGAGGCGAACCGGGGGAACUGAAACAUCUAAGUACCCCGAGGAAAAGAAAUCAACCGAGAUUCCCCCAGUAGCGGCGAGCGAACGGGGAGGAGCCCAGAGCCUGAAUCAGUGUGUGUGUUAGUGGAAGCGUCUGGAAAGGCGCGCGAUACAGGGUGACAGCCCCGUACACAAAAAUGCACAUGCUGUGAGCUCGAUGAGUAGGGCGGGACACGUGGUAUCCUGUCUGAAUAUGGGGGGACCAUCCUCCAAGGCUAAAUACUCCUGACUGACCGAUAGUGAACCAGUACCGUGAGGGAAAGGCGAAAAGAACCCCGGCGAGGGGAGUGAAAAAGAACCUGAAACCGUGUACGUACAAGCAGUGGGAGCCUCUUUAUGGGGUGACUGCGUACCUUUUGUAUAAUGGGUCAGCGACUUAUAUUCUGUAGCAAGGUUAACCGAAUAGGGGAGCCGAAGGGAAACCGAGUCUUAACUGGGCGUUAAGUUGCAGGGUAUAGACCCGAAACCCGGUGAUCUAGCCAUGGGCAGGUUGAAGGUUGGGUAACACUAACUGGAGGACCGAACCGACUAAUGUUGAAAAAUUAGCGGAUGACUUGUGGCUGGGGGUGAAAGGCCAAUCAAACCGGGAGAUAGCUGGUUCUCCCCGAAAGCUAUUUAGGUAGCGCCUCGUGAAUUCAUCUCCGGGGGUAGAGCACUGUUUCGGCAAGGGGGUCAUCCCGACUUACCAACCCGAUGCAAACUGCGAAUACCGGAGAAUGUUAUCACGGGAGACACACGGCGGGUGCUAACGUCCGUCGUGAAGAGGGAAACAACCCAGACCGCCAGCUAAGGUCCCAAAGUCAUGGUUAAGUGGGAAACGAUGUGGGAAGGCCCAGACAGCCAGGAUGUUGGCUUAGAAGCAGCCAUCAUUUAAAGAAAGCGUAAUAGCUCACUGGUCGAGUCGGCCUGCGCGGAAGAUGUAACGGGGCUAAACCAUGCACCGAAGCUGCGGCAGCGACGCUUAUGCGUUGUUGGGUAGGGGAGCGUUCUGUAAGCCUGUGAAGGUGUGCUGUGAGGCAUGCUGGAGGUAUCAGAAGUGCGAAUGCUGACAUAAGUAACGAUAAAGCGGGUGAAAAGCCCGCUCGCCGGAAGACCAAGGGUUCCUGUCCAACGUUAAUCGGGGCAGGGUGAGUCGACCCCUAAGGCGAGGCCGAAAGGCGUAGUCGAUGGGAAACAGGUUAAUAUUCCUGUACUUGGUGUUACUGCGAAGGGGGGACGGAGAAGGCUAUGUUGGCCGGGCGACGGUUGUCCCGGUUUAAGCGUGUAGGCUGGUUUUCCAGGCAAAUCCGGAAAAUCAAGGCUGAGGCGUGAUGACGAGGCACUACGGUGCUGAAGCAACAAAUGCCCUGCUUCCAGGAAAAGCCUCUAAGCAUCAGGUAACAUCAAAUCGUACCCCAAACCGACACAGGUGGUCAGGUAGAGAAUACCAAGGCGCUUGAGAGAACUCGGGUGAAGGAACUAGGCAAAAUGGUGCCGUAACUUCGGGAGAAGGCACGCUGAUAUGUAGGUGAAGUCCCUCGCGGAUGGAGCUGAAAUCAGUCGAAGAUACCAGCUGGCUGCAACUGUUUAUUAAAAACACAGCACUGUGCAAACACGAAAGUGGACGUAUACGGUGUGACGCCUGCCCGGUGCCGGAAGGUUAAUUGAUGGGGUCAGCGCAAGCGAAGCUCUUGAUCGAAGCCCCGGUAAACGGCGGCCGUAACUAUAACGGUCCUAAGGUAGCGAAAUUCCUUGUCGGGUAAGUUCCGACCUGCACGAAUGGCGUAAUGAUGGCCAGGCUGUCUCCACCCGAGACUCAGUGAAAUUGAACUCGCUGUGAAGAUGCAGUGUACCCGCGGCAAGACGGAAAGACCCCGUGAACCUUUACUAUAGCUUGACACUGAACAUUGAGCCUUGAUGUGUAG